RNAcentral lists this microRNA precursor (58 nucleotides) under Gadus morhua (Atlantic cod). RNAcentral's name for it is "microRNA gmo-mir-11274 precursor". Lineage: Eukaryota; Metazoa; Chordata; Actinopteri; Gadiformes; Gadidae. The record is from miRBase by way of RNAcentral.
GCCCGCUGUGAGGAGGAAGAGGAGGAGGAGGAAGUCUUCCUCUACCAGCUCUGGGUCA